AGUGAACGCUGGCGGUAGGCCUAACACAUGCAAGUCGAACGGCAGCACAGUAAGAGCUUGCUCUUACGGGUGGCGAGUGGCGGACGGGUGAGGAAUACAUCGGAAUCUACUUUUUCGUGGGGGAUAACGUAGGGAAACUUACGCUAAUACCGCAUACGACCUACGGGUGAAAGCAGGGGAUCUUCGGACCUUGCGCGAUUGAAUGAGCCGAUGUCGGAUUAGCUAGUUGGCGGGGUAAAGGCCCACCAAGGCGACGAUCCGUAGCUGGUCGGAGAGGAUGAUCGGCCACACUGGAACGGAGACACGGUCCAGACUCCUACGGGAGGCAGCAGUGGGGAAUAUUAGACAAUGGGCGCAAGCCUGAUCCAGCCAGACCGCGUGGGUGAAGAAGGCCUUCGGGUUGUAAAGCCCUUUUGUUGGGAAAGAAAAGCAGCAGGUUAAUACCCCGCUGUUCUGACGGUACCCAAAGAAUAAGCACCGGCUAACUUCGUG
RNAcentral lists this ribosomal RNA (492 nucleotides) under uncultured bacterium. Its description in RNAcentral is "partial 16S ribosomal RNA". It matches the Rfam family "Bacterial small subunit ribosomal RNA", at positions 29 to 507 of the family's 1533-position model. The record is from RNAcentral.